This 483-nucleotide ribosomal RNA is filed under the name uncultured bacterium. RNAcentral's name for it is "partial 16S ribosomal RNA". It matches the Rfam family "Bacterial small subunit ribosomal RNA", at positions 28 to 507 of the family's 1533-position model. The record is from RNAcentral.
GACGAACGCUGGCGGCGUGCUUAACACAUGCAAGUCGAACGCUGAAGCUCAGCUUUUGUUGGGUGGAUGAGUGGCGAACGGGUGAGUAACACGUGAGUAACCUGCCUCCUUCUUUGGGAUAACGCCCGGAAACGGGUGCUAAUACCGGAUAUUCACUGGUCUUCGCAUGGGGGUUGGUGGAAAGGGUUUUUCUGGUGGGGGAUGGGCUCGCGGCCUAUCAGCUUGUUGGUGGGGUGAUGGCCUACCAAGGCUUUGACGGGUAGCCGGCCUGAGAGGGUGACCGGUCACAUUGGGACUGAGAUACGGCCCAGACUCCUACGGGAGGCAGCAGUGGGGAAUAUUGCACAAUGGGCGCAAGCCUGAUGCAGCGACGCCGCGUGAGGGAUGGAGGCCUUCGGGUUGUGAACCUCUUUCGCUCAUGGUCAAGCCGCAACAAUGGUUGUGGUGAGGGUAGUGGGUAAAGAAGCGCCGGCUAACUACGUG